RNAcentral lists this ribosomal RNA (385 nucleotides) under Psychromonas sp. Asnod1G05. RNAcentral describes it as "bacterial SSU rRNA". It matches the Rfam family "Bacterial small subunit ribosomal RNA", at positions 431 to 807 of the family's 1533-position model. The record is from RNAcentral. Lineage: Bacteria; Pseudomonadati; Pseudomonadota; Gammaproteobacteria; Alteromonadales; Psychromonadaceae.
CACUUUCNGCGAGGAGGAAAGGGUGAUGCUUAAUAAGUAUCAUCUGUGACGUUACUCGCAGAAGAAGCACCGGCUAACUCCGUGCCAGCAGCCGCGGUAAUACGGAGGGUGCGAGCGUUAAUCGGAAUUACUGGGCGUAAAGCGCGCGUAGGCGGUUAAUUAAGUCAGAUGUGAAAUCCCAGGGCUCAACCUUGGAACUGCAUUUGAAACUGGUUAACUAGAGUUUUGUAGAGGGUGGUAGAAUUUCAGGUGUAGCGGUGAAAUGCGUAGAGAUCUGAAGGAAUACCAGUGGCGAAGGCGGCCACCUGGACAAAGACUGACGCUGAGGCGCGAAGGCGUGGGGAGCAAACAGGAUUAGAUACCCUGGUAGUCCACUGCUGCCUCC